RNAcentral lists this long non-coding RNA (352 nucleotides) under Bos taurus (domestic cattle). Its description in RNAcentral is "long non-coding RNA NONBTAT012092". The record is from RNAcentral. Lineage: Eukaryota; Metazoa; Chordata; Mammalia; Artiodactyla; Bovidae.
ACAAAUUUAAGAUGAAAAGUACCAAAGUGGAGCAAUUUUAGGAAGAUCUCUCUGGGCCAAGCAGGUGGCUAGAAAUAGAAAUGGAGAGUGUGCUGUGGAGUUAAGCACAUGCUGUCAUUUCAGGGGGAACUGUGCGCAGACUGACUUCUGUUCCCUCCUUCACGUUUGGUAUUUUGCAACAGGAUUCUCUUACUUUACUAUUGAUUUUUCAACUCACAGUGGUUCUUAACACUUUAGUCUUCAGGCUUUUUUUCGUCUGUCUUUCAAUAGACUAGUUAAUGGUAUACCAGUGCUCUAGGGAGGCUAGAGGGCUAGGAACCCUUCUGAAAAUGAAGUAAUAACCCAUUUGCUU